RNAcentral lists this ribosomal RNA (467 nucleotides) under uncultured bacterium. Its description in RNAcentral is "partial 16S ribosomal RNA". It matches the Rfam family "Bacterial small subunit ribosomal RNA", at positions 28 to 507 of the family's 1533-position model. The record is from RNAcentral.
GACGAACGCUGGCGGCGUGCUUAACACAUGCAAGUCGAACGGAAAGGCCUCUUUCGGGGGGUACUCGAGUGGCGAACGGGUGAGUAACACGUGAGUAACCUGCCCUUGACUUUGGGAUAACUUCAGGAAACUGGGGCUAAUACCGGAUAGGAGCUCCUGCUGCAUGGUGGGGGUUGGAAAGUUUCGGCGGUUGGGGGUGGGCUCGCGGCUUAUCAGCUUGUUGGUGGGGUAGUGGCUUACCAAGGCCUUGACGGGUAGCCGGCCUGAGAGGGUGACCGGCCACAUUGGCACUGAGAGACGGCCCAGACGCCUACGGGUGGCAGCAGUGGGGAAUAUUGCACAAUGGGUAGCAGCCUGAUGCAGCAGGGCCGUGUGCGGGAUGACGGCCUUCGGGUUGUAGACCGCUUUCGCUCAUGACGAAGCUUUGUGUGACGGUAGUGGGUAAAGAAGCACCGGCUAACUACGUG